Molecule: transfer RNA, 72 nt
Filed under: Camelus ferus (Wild Bactrian camel)
Lineage: Eukaryota; Metazoa; Chordata; Mammalia; Artiodactyla; Camelidae
Rfam family: tRNA
About the family: Transfer RNA (tRNA) molecules are approximately 80 nucleotides in length.
Source: Rfam by way of RNAcentral
AAGGGUAUAGCUCAGUGGCAGAGCACAUGCUUAGCGUACACGCGGUCCUGGGUUCAAUCCCCAGUACGUCUG